CAGGUAAUGAAAAGGCAGGCCAAACACAAAUGGUUAGGCAACUAUAUACACGGGAGACGAUAGACACUACGACCCUUGAGAAAGGCCAAAACCCUUCGGCCGAAACGUCGGGAGAGUAGGAAACAUUUCGUUCUCGACUUAAAGACUGAGAAAGCCACCCAAAAGAUCGAUCAAACAUC
Long non-coding RNA from Aedes albopictus (Asian tiger mosquito), 179 nucleotides. RefSeq lists it as uncharacterized. The transcript is spliced from 2 exons. Lineage: Eukaryota; Metazoa; Arthropoda; Insecta; Diptera; Culicidae. The record is from RefSeq and is a predicted model, not a curated record.